GCGGGGAUGAGGUGUGGGUAGCGGAGAAAUUCCAAUCGAACUUGGAGAUAGCUGGGUCUCUCCGAAAUAACUUUAGGGCUAGCCUCGAGGGAAAGAGGCAUGGAGGGAGAGCACUGUUUGGGCUAGGGGCCCUUCUCGGGUUACCGAAUUCAGAUAAACUCCGAAUGCCACGUACUUAUACUCGGGAGUCAGACUGCGAGUGUUAAGAUCCGUAGGCGAAAGGGAAGCAGCACAGACCCCCAGUUAAGGUCCCCAAAAAUAUGUUAAGUGGAAAAGGAUGUGGGGUUGCUUAGCCAACCAGGAUGUUGGCUUUGAAGCAGCCACCAUUGAAAGAGUGCGUAAUAG
RNAcentral lists this ribosomal RNA (345 nucleotides) under Listeria monocytogenes. RNAcentral's name for it is "bacterial LSU rRNA". It matches the Rfam family "Bacterial large subunit ribosomal RNA", at positions 798 to 1140 of the family's 2925-position model. The record is from RNAcentral. Lineage: Bacteria; Bacillati; Bacillota; Bacilli; Caryophanales; Listeriaceae.